This is a long non-coding RNA of Oncorhynchus gorbuscha (pink salmon), 992 nucleotides long. RefSeq lists it as uncharacterized. NCBI's taxonomy places the organism in Eukaryota, Metazoa, Chordata, Actinopteri, Salmoniformes, Salmonidae. The record is from RefSeq and is a predicted model, not a curated record. The transcript has 2 exons.
CUUUAGAAAUAUAUUAAAUGUACCAGUGAUCGGUUGUAUGAACACCCAUCCACCAACAUGCUAGCAGUGCUAAUUUACAUUAAAUUAUAAAAAGACUGACAUUGUUAGGGCCACGCAGCAGGAACCGGCGACCAUCGCACCACUUUGUAAAGAUGAGCAUGUCAGGUGGGACUAGGACAGUCAAAACUGGGGAUGACGAGACAACACUGCUAUUCUUAGCUCUUUUGUUCAGUGUUGAGAGAAGAGUUGGGACCCUGCUAUCACCUCCACUACCACCCUGUAACCAGGCCACGAACGCCAGACUGCCAGCCACCAAAGUAGUUCUCAUUAUUACGAGAUGUGGAAGAUCAAACGUAAGUGGCCCCACCAUUUUGUGGCAUGCAUGCUCUUUCACAUUCAGUCAAAACGAAAAUAACAAAAUGACUGCAUAUGGCAAGUCGUUUUUCCCUACACACACAGGCUACAGUUCAGUAUGGCUGAGAGACAUUCCCAGCCAGGCAACUAAUAGAACUUGGUAGAACUCACACCUUAAAUUCCUUUGCGUUACGAUGUUGAUUAGAGAUUAACAAUAUAAAAUGCCACUGUACUGCAUUCCUGAUGUAAAACUUCUCUUACAGCCCCCAUCACGUACGCCUUGGAAGCAAAGUACAGGCCCUAUCUUGAGCUCUGGACCAAUUGGCAGAGGAGUUGCCAGGGAAGCUGUACUCAAGGGCCGAACUGUCACAUGAAAAAGAAGACAAGGGAGUGACCGUGGGAGACCCUUCCCUUUCCCAAUGGGGUGGCCCGUGACUGGCCUGACUCCAGAGCUGUAUGGUCAGUGCUGCUCUUUAAGUGCCUGCCAGUGUUCCCUUCUUUACAACCUAAACAAUUUAUUGUGUGUGUUGUGUUUGCCUUUUUAUGCAGAAAGAUUAUUUGUGCAAUGAAAAAUAUCAAUAUAUAAUUUAUUAUUAUGUUCCAGAUGUUAGUGUGGUAAUAAAAACUGCUCUAGGGUC